CGGGACACGUGGUAUCCUGUCUGAAUAUGGGGGGACCAUCCUCCAAGGCUAAAUACUCCUGACUGACCGAUAGUGAACCAGUACCGUGAGGGAAAGGCGAAAAGAACCCCGGCGAGGGGAGUGAAAAAGAACCUGAAACCGUGUACGUACAAGCAGUGGGAGCCUCUUUUAUGGGGUGACUGCGUACCUUUUGUAUAAUGGGUCAGCGACUUAUAUUCUGUAGCAAGGUUAACCGAAUAGGGGAGCCGAAGGGAAACCGAGUCUUAACUGGGCGUUAAGUUGCAGGGUAUAGACCCGAAACCCGGUGAUCUAGCCAUGGGCAGGUUGAAGGUUGGGUAACACUAACUGGAGGACCGAACCGACUAAUGUUGAAAAAUUAGCGGAUGACUUGUGGCUGGGGGUGAAAGGCCAAUCAAACCGGGAGAUAGCUGGUUCUCCCCGAAAGCUAUUUAGGUAGCGCCUCGUGAAUUCAUCUCCGGGGGUAGAGCACUGUUUCGGCAAGGGGGUCAUCCCGACUUACCAACCCGAUGCAAACUGCGAAUACCGGAGAAUGUUAUCACGGGAGACACACGGCGGGUGCUAACGUCCGUCGUGAAGAGGGAAACAACCCAGACCGCCAGCUAAGGUCCCAAAGUCAUGGUUAAGUGGGAAACGAUGUGGGAAGGCCCAGACAGCCAGGAUGUUGGCUUAGAAGCAGCCAUCAUUUAAAGAAAGCGUAAUAGCUCACUGGUCGAGUCGGCCUGCGCGGAAGAUGUAACGGGGCUAAACCAUGCACCGAAGCUGCGGCAGCGACACUGUGUGUUGUUGGGUAGGGGAGCGUUCUGUAAGCCUGUGAAGGUGUGCUGUGAGGCAUGCUGGAGGUAUCAGAAGUGCGAAUGCUGACAUAAGUAACGAUAAAGCGGGUGAAAAGCCCGCUCGCCGGAAGACCAAGGGUUCCUGUCCAACGUUAAUCGGGGCAGGGUGAGUCGACCCCUAAGGCGAGGCCGAAAGGCGUAGUCGAUGGGAAACAGGUUAAUAUUCCUGUACUUGGUGUUACUGCGAAGGGGGGACGGAGAAGGCUAUGUUGGCCGGGCGACGGUUGUCCCGGUUUAAGCGUGUAGGCUGGUUUUCCAGGCAAAUCCGGAAAAUCAAGGCUGAGGCGUGAUGACGAGGCACUACGGUGCUGAAGCAACAAAUGCCCUGCUUCCAGGAAAAGCCUCUAAGCAUCAGGUAACAUCAAAUCGUACCCCAAACCGACACAGGUGGUCAGGUAGAGAAUACCAAGGCGCUUGAGAGAACUCGGGUGAAGGAACUAGGCAAAAUGGUGCCGUAACUUCGGGAGAAGGCACGCUGAUAUGUAGGUGAAGUCCCUCGCGGAUGGAGCUGAAAUCAGUCGAAGAUACCAGCUGGCUGCAACUGUUUAUUAAAAACACAGCACUGUGCAAACACGAAAGUGGACGUAUACGGUGUGACGCCUGCCCGGUGCCGGAAGGUUAAUUGAUGGGGUCAGCGCAAGCGAAGCUCUUGAUCGAAGCCCCGGUAAACGGCGGCCGUAACUAUAACGGUCCUAAGGUAGCGAAAUUCCUUGUCGGGUAAGUUCCGACCUGCACGAAUGGCGUAAUGAUGGCCAGGCUGUCUCCACCCGAGACUCAGUGAAAUUGAACUCGCUGUGAAGAUGCAGUGUACCCGCGGCAAGACGGAAAGACCCCGUGAACCUUUACUAUAGCUUGACACUGAACAUUGAGCCUUGAUGUGUAGGAUAGGUGGGAGGCUUUGAAGUGUGGACGCCAGUCUGCAUGGAGCCGACCUUGAAAUACCACCCUUUAAUGUUUGAUGUUCUAACGUGGACCCGUGAUCCGGGUUGCGGACAGUGUCUGGUGGGUAGUUUGACUGGGGCGGUCUCCUCCUAAAGAGUAACGGAGGAGCACGAAGGUUGGCUAAUCCUGGUCGGACAUCAGGAGGUUAGUGCAAUGGCAUAAGCCAGCUUGACUGCGAGCGUGACGGCGCGAGCAGGUGCGAAAGCAGGUCAUAGUGAUCCGGUGGUUCUGAAUGGAAGGGCCAUCGCUCAACGGAUAAAAGGUACUCCGGGGAUAACAGGCUGAUACCGCCCAAGAGUUCAUAUCGACGGCGGUGUUUGGCACCUCGAUGUCGGCUCAUCACAUCCUGGGGCUGAAGUAGGUCCCAAGGGUAUGGCUGUUCGCCAUUUAAAGUGGUACGCGAGCUGGGUUUAGAACGUCGUGAGACAGUUCGGUCCCUAUCUGCCGUGGGCGCUGGAGAACUGAGGGGGGCUGCUCCUAGUACGAGAGGACCGGAGUGGACGCAUCACUGGUGUUCGGGUUGUCAUGCCAAUGGCACUGCCCGGUAGCUAAAUGCGGAAGAGAUAAGUGCUGAAAGCAUCUAAGCACGAAACUUGCCCCGAGAUGAGUUCUCCCUGACCCUUUAAGGGUCCUGAAGGAACGUUGAAGACGACGACGUUGAUAGGCCGGGUGUGUAAGCGCAGCGAUGCGUUGAGCUAACCGGUACUAAUGAACCGUGAGGCUUAACCUU
Molecule: ribosomal RNA, 2526 nt
Filed under: Escherichia coli
Lineage: Bacteria; Pseudomonadati; Pseudomonadota; Gammaproteobacteria; Enterobacterales; Enterobacteriaceae
Description: partial 23S ribosomal RNA
Rfam family: Bacterial large subunit ribosomal RNA
Source: RNAcentral